UUAGGAGCCUCGUAUUUAGGAGCUUCGUACUUUGGGGCUACGUACUUAGGAGUCUCGUACUUGGGAGUCUCGUAUUUAGGAGAUUCGUACUUAGGUGCCUCGUACUUGGGAGAAUCAUACAUGGGGGCUUUGUACUCAGCAGCCUUGUAAGAAUCGGCAGCAGCAAAGGCGAAAAGGG
Long non-coding RNA from Daphnia pulicaria, 178 nucleotides. RefSeq lists it as uncharacterized. NCBI's taxonomy places the organism in Eukaryota, Metazoa, Arthropoda, Branchiopoda, Diplostraca, Daphniidae. The transcript is spliced from 2 exons. The record is from RefSeq and is a predicted model, not a curated record.